Molecule: ribosomal RNA, 776 nt
Filed under: uncultured Neocallimastigales
Lineage: Eukaryota; Fungi; Neocallimastigomycota; Neocallimastigomycetes; Neocallimastigales
Description: partial large subunit ribosomal RNA
Rfam family: Eukaryotic large subunit ribosomal RNA
Source: RNAcentral
UUACGACUACAUAUCAGGCAUAUCAAUAAGCGGAGGAAAAGAAACUAACAAGGAUUCCCCUAGUAACGGCGAGUGAAGCGGGAAGAGCUCAAAUUUGAAAUCUUAAAGGGUUUCCCUUUACGAAUUGUAGUUUAAAGAAGUGUUUUCUGUUGGAGUUUCGGUAAAAGUUCUUUGGAAUAGGACAUCAUAGAGGGUGAGAAUCCCGUAUUUGACCGUUACUUUCCAGCUGUGUGAUACACUUUCAAAGAGUCGGAUUGUUUGGGAAUGCAGUCCAAAAUGGGUGGUAAAUUUCAUCUAAAGCUAAAUAUUGGCGAGAGACCGAUAGCGAACAAGUACCGUGAGGGAAAGAUGAAAAGAACUUUGAAAAGAGAGUUAAACAGUACGUGAAAUUGUCAAAAGGGAAGCGUUUGACACCAGUGUUGUUUUUCCGAAAAUCAAUUAAAAUGAAUCAUGCUAGGUUGUAUUGACCUUAUCAGCUUGCAUUUAGUUUUGGUUAACCUUUUGUAAUGCACUUUUCGGUUAACAAGUCAACAUCAAUUUCUUUUGUUGUAAAAGGGUAUUUGGAAGGUGGCUUUCUUUUCGGAGAAAGUGUUUAUAGCCUUAUACCUCUACAAUCGGAGAGAUUGAGGUCUGCAGCGUAGAUCCUUCGGGGCUAGAUACACUUGUGCUAAGUUAUAGCUUUUCAUAGACAACUUGUUGACUAUGUUUAGUCAUGUAGCUUACCCGCUUAGUGCUAUUUUACCUACGCUUAGGAUGUUGAUCUACAGAGCGAGAGU